UGCCAGCCGCCGCGGUAAGACGGAGGGUACAAACGUUAUCCGGAUUUAUUGGGUUUAAAGGGUGCGUAGGCGGUUUUGUAAGUCAGUAGUGAAAUCUAGCAGCUCAACUGUUAAAGUGCUAUUGAUACUGCAAGACUUGAGUAUAGUCAAGGUGGGCGGAAUUCUGCAUGUAGUGGUGAAAUACGUUGAUAUGCAGAGGAACACCGAUAGCGAAGGCAGUUCACUGGGCUAUUACUGACGCUGAGGCACGAAAGCGUGGGGAGCAAACAGGAUUAGAUA
This 279-nucleotide ribosomal RNA is filed under the name uncultured bacterium. Its description in RNAcentral is "partial 16S ribosomal RNA". It matches the Rfam family "Bacterial small subunit ribosomal RNA", at positions 506 to 784 of the family's 1533-position model. The record is from RNAcentral.